Gordionus sp. m RMFG-2023 is the source of this 307-nucleotide long non-coding RNA. RefSeq lists it as uncharacterized. NCBI's taxonomy places the organism in Eukaryota, Metazoa, Nematomorpha, Gordioida, Chordodea, Parachordodidae. The record is from RefSeq and is a predicted model, not a curated record. The transcript has 3 exons.
UCUUUUAUUUUGGGACAAAAGGUUCUUGCUUGGAACCAUAAAUGGUUAGAUAGGAAAGGGGGGAAAAUGUUGAACCCCUGGAUAGGCCCUUAUUUGAUCAAUAAAAUAUUUGAUAAGGGUGUAUAUGAAUUAAUAACCACGAAUAAUCUCAUAUUAAAAACAAAAUAUAAUUUAUCCAAUUUAAAAGAAUUUAUUGUAAGAAACAAUGAAUAUCCAGAUGAAAAUGAUAGUAGUUCCCAAAAUGGCCUUUAUGAUGAAAUUAUUCCACUUGCUACGGAGUUUGUUGAUCCAAACUCUUCCAGAGGUA